Molecule: ribosomal RNA, 440 nt
Filed under: uncultured bacterium
Lineage: Bacteria
Description: partial 16S ribosomal RNA
Rfam family: Bacterial small subunit ribosomal RNA
Source: RNAcentral
CUACGGGGCGCUGCAGUGGGGAAUCUUAGACAAUGGGGGAAACCCUGAUCUAGCCAUGCCGCGUGAGCGACGACGGCCCUAGGGUUGUAAAGCUCUUUCAGCAGGGAAGAUAAUGACGGUACCUGCAGAAGAAGUCCCGGCUAACUCCGUGCCAGCAGCCGCGGUAAUACGGAGGGGGACUAGCGUUGUUCGGAAUUACUGGGCGUAAAGCGCGCGUAGGCGGAUUGUUAAGUCGGGGGUGAAAUCCCGGGGCUCAACCCCGGAACUGCCCUCGAUACUGGCAGUCUUGAGUUCGAGAGAGGUGAGUGGAAUUCCGAGUGUAGAGGUGAAAUUCGUAGAUAUUCGGAGGAACACCAGUGGCGAAGGCGGCUCACUGGCUCGAUACUGACGCUGAGGUGCGAAAGCGUGGGGAGCAAACAGGAUUAGAUACCCGUGUAGUC